RNAcentral lists this long non-coding RNA (303 nucleotides) under Heterocephalus glaber (naked mole-rat). RNAcentral describes it as "lncRNA (ENSHGLG00000041154.1)". The record is from RNAcentral. Lineage: Eukaryota; Metazoa; Chordata; Mammalia; Rodentia; Bathyergidae.
CCACAAGUCCUGGGGGAGGUCUAUUCUAUGAAAGCCCAGAGCCUCAACCUAUGUGUAGCAGCCUGGGUCAUCUUGGGCUCUUUGGUGCCGGUCGAUCUCCCCGCUGUCUCUGGACUGUCUGUCAGCCGUUGUGGACACCCCUCUUCUCUCAUGGACCCAGAGAAAUGAAUUUAUGGUACACCCUCCAGAACAUGGGAGCGAUACCAAUGUUUCAGCCAGACAGUUCCAUCCAAGAAUGAACUUCAUACUGUGUCCUAUGAAAUUAAAAGCCUUGUAAAUCCCACUGAGCCAAGCAGGAUAAGG